Molecule: ribosomal RNA, 307 nt
Filed under: uncultured bacterium
Lineage: Bacteria
Description: partial 16S ribosomal RNA
Rfam family: Bacterial small subunit ribosomal RNA
Source: RNAcentral
AGACAGCAGCAGCCGCGGGAAUACGUAGGUCCCGAGCGUUGUCCGGAUUUAUUGGGCGUAAAGCGAGCGCAGGCGGUUAGAUAAGUCUGAAGUUAAAGGCUGUGGCUUAACCAUAGUACGCUUUGGAAACUGUUUAACUUGAGUGCAGAAGGGGAGAGUGGAAUUCCAUGUGUAGCGGUGAAAUGCGUAGAUAUAUGGAGGAACACCGGUGGCGAAAGCGGCUCUCUGGUCUGUAACUGACGCUGAGGCUCGAAAGCGUGGGGAGCAAACAGGAUUAGAUACCCCAGUAGUCCCUGUCUCUUAUACA